AGACGUGUGCUCUUCCGAUCUAGUGGAUGCCUUGGCACCGAAAGACGAUGAAGGACGCGACUACCUGCGAUAAUCCUCGGCGAGCUGGAAGUAAGCUUUGACCCGAGGGUCUCCGAAUGGGGAAACCCGAUGCGCGUUAUGGCGCACCACCUGACCGGCCAAUACAUAACCGGCAGGAGACAACCCUGGGAAUUGAAACAUCUAAGUACCAGGAGGAAAAGAAAGAGAAUUCGAUUCCGUCAGUAGCGGCGAGCGAAAGCGGAAGAGCCUAAACCACCUUGAGUGGGGUUCGGGAUCACAUCAGUAUAAGUAGACACAAGGAGAAUUACCUGGAAUGGUAAGCCAAAGAGGGUGAAAGCCCCGUACCUGUAAAAAUGCUACUUGUCGUGAUUUCCAGAGUACGGCGGGACACGUGAAAUCCUGUCGGAAUGUGCGGAGACCACUCCGUAAGGCUAAAUACUCUUCGGUGACCGAUAGUGAACCAGUACCGUGAGGGAAAGGUGAAAAGAACCCCGGGAGGGGAGUGAAAAGAAUCUGAAACCGUAUGCCUACAAAAAGUCAGAGGGCGUUAAAGCCUGAUGACGUGCCUAUUGAAGAAUGAGCCGGCGAGUUAUGAACACAUGCGAGGUUAAGGAGAAGAUCCGGAGCCGAAGCGAAAGCGAGUCUUAACAGGGCGACAGUAUGUGUUUGUAGACCCGAAACCCGACGAUCUAGCCAUGAUCAGGAUGAAGUAAGGGUAAAACCUUAUGGAGGUCCGAACCGACGUUCGUUGAAACGCCCGCGGAUGAAUUGUGGCUCGUGGUGAAAUUCCAAUCGAGUCGGGUAAUAGCUGGUUCUCCCCGAAAUAGCUUUAGGGCUAGCCUUGGGACAUUGUUUAGUGGGGGUAAAGCACUGAAUAUGAGCGAGCCGCGCCAAGCGGUAUCAAUCAUAAUCAAACUCUGAAUCCCAUUAGAUGUACCCCAGGAGUCAGACUACGGGAGAUAAGUUCCGUGGUCAAGAGGGCAACAGCCCAGACCGCCGAUUAAGGUCCCUAAAUUCACGCUAAGUGUCAAAGGAUGUAGAGAUACUCAAACAGCUAGGAUGUUGGCUCAGAGGCAGCCAUCAUUUAAAGAAUGCGUAACAGCUCACUAGUCAAGUGUCUCCGCGCCGAAAAUUUACCGGGGCUAAGCGUGAUACCGAAAUCGCGGAUGAAUCCUAAAAAUUCGUGGUAGGGGAGCGUUCUGUUUGCAGUGAAGCCAUAUCGUGAGGAGUGGUGGAGCGUACAGAAGCGAGAAUGCCGGCGUAAGUAACGAUAAAGGGUGAGAAUCCCUUUCACCAAUUGACUAAGGUUUCCUGGGCAAGGUUCGUCCUCCCAGGGUUAGUCGGGACCUAAGGCGAGGCCGACAGGCGUAGUCGAUGGACAGCAGGUUGAUAUUCCUGCACCCGAGCACGCAGUGAUGCAAUGACGAAAACGGCUAUGCUCACCUCCGAUCGGAAGUGGAGGGCAGAGCGUAGGAGUCGAUUCCUUGUUAAGUACGGGAAUCAUUAAGACAAAGACGUGCGGUAUGAAAGUCGCGAGACGAGUAAGAAACAGCAGACGCCGAUUUCCAAGAAAAGUUGCUAACGUUAAACGUGUUCGGCCCGUACCGAGAACGGACACACGUGGUCAAGGAGAAUAUCCUGAGGUGAGCGAGAUAACUGUUGUUAAGGAACUCUGCAAAAUAACUUCGUAAGUUAGCAAGAAGAAGUGCUCCAGCGAUGGAGCCGCAGCGAAUCGGCCCAAGUAACUGUUUACCAAAAACACAGCUCUAUGCUAAGUCGCAAGACGAUGUAUAUGGGGUGACGCCUGCCCGGUGCCGGAAGGUUAAAAGGAGAGGUUAGGAGCAAUCCGAAGCUUUGAAUUGAAGCCCCGGUGAACGGCGGCCGUAACAAUAACGGUCCUAAGGUAGCGAAAUUCCUUGUCAGGUAAGUUCUGACCCGCAUGAAAGGCGUAAUGAUUUGGGCACUGUCUCAACAGCCCGCCCGGCGAAAUUGUAGUACCGGUGAAGAUGCCGGUUACCCGCGACUAGACGGAAAGACCCCAUGGAGCUUUACUAUAACUUAAUAUUGAGUAAAUGCGAAUCUUGUACAGUAUAGGUGGGAGACUUUGAAGUCGGGGCGUCAGCUUCGAUGGAGUCGCCGUUGGGAUACCACUCUGGAUUUGCAUUUAUUCUAACUCCUACCCUGGAUGGGCGGGAGGACAGUGUUAGGCGGGUAGUUUGGCUGGGGCGGCCGCCUCCCAAAUAGUAACGGAGGCGCCCUAAGGUACCCUCAGUAUGGUCGGAAAUCAUACGUAGAGCGCAAAUGCAUAAGGGUGCUUGACUGCAAGACCGACAAGUCGAGCAGGUACGAAAGUAGGGAUUAGUGACCAGGCGGUUUCAUUGUGGAAUGGCCGUCGCUUAACGGAUAAAAGCUACCCUGGGGAUAACAGGCUGAUCGCGUCCAAGAGUUCACUUCGACGACGCGGUUUGGCACCUCGAUGUCGGCUCAUCACAUCCUGGAGGGGCAGCACCUUCCAAGGGUUAGGCUGUUCGCCUAUUAAAGUGGUACGCGAGCUGGGUUCAAAACGUCGUGAGACAGUUUGGUCCCUAUCUGUCGUGGGCGUAGGAAGUUUGAAAGGAUCCGUCCCUAGUACGCAAGGACCAGGAUGGACAUAGCUACGGUACACCGGUUGUAACGCCAGUUGCACGGCCGGGUAGCCGCCUAUGGAUCGGAUAAACGCUGAAAGCAUCUAAGCGCGAAACCGUCCUUAAGAUGAGACUUCCCUUUCGCAAGAAAUAAGAUCCGCGGUAAGUUACCGCGUUGAUAGGUCGCAGAUGUAAGCAUAGCGAUAUGUUCAGUCGAGCGAUACUAAUAGAUCGACCAGAUCGGAAG
RNAcentral lists this ribosomal RNA (2892 nucleotides) under human gut metagenome. RNAcentral's name for it is "bacterial LSU rRNA". It matches the Rfam family "Bacterial large subunit ribosomal RNA". The record is from RNAcentral.